AUUAAGCAUCUCGAGCCCCUCCUUCGCGUAAAGCUUCGGAGGGCGGCAACCCUAAAACAGGCAGGGUGCCAAAAUUGAUGCGCCCGAAAAGGGAACUGUUUAGUGGCACU
Molecule: non-coding RNA, 110 nt
Organism: Candidatus Woykebacteria bacterium RBG_13_40_15
Lineage: Bacteria; Candidatus Woykeibacteriota
Source: Rfam